RNAcentral lists this transfer RNA (73 nucleotides) under Canis lupus familiaris (dog). It matches the Rfam family "tRNA". From Rfam's summary of the family: Transfer RNA (tRNA) molecules are approximately 80 nucleotides in length. The record is from Rfam by way of RNAcentral. Lineage: Eukaryota; Metazoa; Chordata; Mammalia; Carnivora; Canidae. RNAcentral also lists the same sequence under 2 other names.
GCCUGGCUGGCUUAGUGAGUAGAGCACGUGACUCUUGAUCUUGGGGUUGUGAGUUUGAGCCCCAUGUUGGGUG